CCCUGGCUGGCUCAGUCGGUAGAGCAUGUGACUCUUGAUCUCAGGGUUGUGAGUUCGAGCCCCAUGUUGGGCU
RNAcentral lists this transfer RNA (73 nucleotides) under Felis catus (domestic cat). It matches the Rfam family "tRNA". From Rfam's summary of the family: Transfer RNA (tRNA) molecules are approximately 80 nucleotides in length. RNAcentral also lists the same sequence under 3 other names. Lineage: Eukaryota; Metazoa; Chordata; Mammalia; Carnivora; Felidae. The record is from Rfam by way of RNAcentral.